Molecule: unclassified non-coding RNA, 731 nt
Filed under: Hevea brasiliensis (rubber tree)
Lineage: Eukaryota; Viridiplantae; Streptophyta; Magnoliopsida; Malpighiales; Euphorbiaceae
Source: RNAcentral
GGAUUAGAUGCUUCUUGAAAGAUGCAGACAGCAAGCAAGAUCAAGAUGAACGCGUUCGCAACUGGGUAGCUGAAAUCAGAGAUAUUGCAUAUGAAGCAGAGGAUGUCAUCGACACCUUUCUUCUUCUCAGAGCUGAAACAGGCUCAAGAAAAAGGGUAUGUGGACUCAUCAAGAAGAUUACCUCCAUGUUCACUAAGGUUCCUAAUCUCCAUGAAAUUGGAACCCAGAUCAAAUCCAUCCAAGCUAAGAUUGUGAGUGUCUCUGCUAAUACGCAGAAGUUGGGCAUCAAACUUGAUGCAGAAGGAGAGGGGUCUAAAUCUAGAAGUGAAAUGCAAACGCGAUUGAGAAGAUCAUACCCACAUGAUCAGGAAGAUGAUGUUAUCAGCUUGGAGGCAACCAUCAGAGAUGUUAAAUCUCAACUGUUGAUGAUGGAAGAGCAAGGCCUAGUUGUUGCUUUGGUGGGAAUGGGAGGGCUAGGUAAAACCACACUCGCCAAGAAAAUAUACAAUGACAUUCAUGUGAGGCAGCAUUUUGAUUGUCAUUCUUGGUCUUUCUUAUCUCAGCAGUUCUCCACAAGGGAUGUUUUGGUUGGUAUCCUGAAGAAAGUUGCAUCUAAGCAGGACAAAUCUGAGUUGGUAAAACCGGAAGAGGAUCAAUCGACGUUGGAGAGGGUAGAAGCCAAGUUUAAUUCAACAGUGGAAGCGAUGAGAGAAGAAGAACUAGUUGAAACG